CCUACGGGUGACAGCAGUGAGGAAUAUUGGUCAAUGGACGAGAGUCUGAACCAGCCAAGUAGCGUGAAGGAUGACUGCCCUAUGGGUUGUAAACUUCUUUUAUAUGGGAAUAAAAUGUUCCACGUGUGGGAUUUUGUAUGUACCAUAUGAAUAAGGAUCGGCUAACUCCGUGCCAGCAGCCGCGGUAAUACGGAGGAUCCGAGCGUUAUCCGGAUUUAUUGGGUUUAAAGGGAGCGUAGGUGGAUUGUUAAGUCAGUUGUGAAAGUUUGCGGCUCAACCGUAAAAUUGCAGUUGAAACUGGCAGUCUUGAGUACAGUAGAGGUGGGCGGAAUUCGUGGUGUAGCGGUGAAAUGCUUAGAUAUCACGAAGAACUCCGAUUGCGAAGGCAGUUCACUGGACUGCAACUGACACUGAGGCUCGAAAGCGUGGGUAUCAAACAGGAUUAGAUACCCCUGUAGUC
Molecule: ribosomal RNA, 460 nt
Filed under: uncultured bacterium
Lineage: Bacteria
Description: partial 16S ribosomal RNA
Rfam family: Bacterial small subunit ribosomal RNA
Source: RNAcentral